GUCCCCUUCGUCUAGAGGCCUAGGACACCGGAUUUUCAUUCCGGCAACACGGGUUCGACUCCCGUAGGGGACGCCA
Molecule: transfer RNA, 76 nt
Filed under: Alphaproteobacteria bacterium CG1_02_46_17
Lineage: Bacteria; Pseudomonadati; Pseudomonadota; Alphaproteobacteria
Also listed under: 1 other name
Description: tRNA-Glu
Rfam family: tRNA
About the family: Transfer RNA (tRNA) molecules are approximately 80 nucleotides in length. Their secondary structure includes four short double-helical elements and three loops (D, anti-codon, and T loops). Further hydrogen bonds mediate the characteristic L-shaped molecular structure. tRNAs have two regions of fundamental functional importance: the anti-codon, which is responsible for specific mRNA codon recognition, and the 3' end, to which the tRNAs corresponding amino acid is attached (by aminoacyl-tRNA synthetases). tRNAs cope with the degeneracy of the genetic code in two manners: having more than one tRNA (with a specific anti-codon) for a particular amino acid; and 'wobble' base-pairing, i.e. permitting non-standard base-pairing at the 3rd anti-codon position.
Source: RNAcentral